This is a long non-coding RNA of Neopelma chrysocephalum (saffron-crested tyrant-manakin), 279 nucleotides long. RefSeq lists it as uncharacterized. NCBI's taxonomy places the organism in Eukaryota, Metazoa, Chordata, Aves, Passeriformes, Pipridae. The transcript is spliced from 3 exons. The record is from RefSeq and is a predicted model, not a curated record.
AUGAAAUGAAAUGGAGGAUUAGAUCGUGCUUAAUGACAACAAGAACAUGACAAAGGUGCAAAACCCUUCAGGAGUUGUCUCCAAAUCUACAUUAAAGUUCUCAUUUGGCUCUAAACCUUUCUAAACCAGUUCUGUUUUGCUUGGAAGGAAUUUAGCGCCUCACACCCCACCCCUGAGCCACCUGGUGAGGUUGGAGGACCUUCUGAAGAACCUCAUGAAACCAGGGCCAGAGCAAAGGGCAGUAUUUGGGAGCCAGAUCCCUGGCUACCCCACAGGAAA